This is a transfer RNA of 75 nucleotides. It matches the Rfam family "tRNA". From Rfam's summary of the family: Transfer RNA (tRNA) molecules are approximately 80 nucleotides in length.
GGACCGUAGGCCUAAUGGUUAGGGCACCCCACUGUCUAUGGGAUAUUCAAACGGGUUCGACUCCCGUACGGUCCG